Long non-coding RNA from Symphalangus syndactylus (siamang), 1164 nucleotides. RefSeq lists it as uncharacterized. NCBI's taxonomy places the organism in Eukaryota, Metazoa, Chordata, Mammalia, Primates, Hylobatidae. The record is from RefSeq and is a predicted model, not a curated record.
CUUUCAGGACACAUGCUGUGGGUGUCCUGAGCUGCCAUUUAAGAAGUCUGGCUACCCUAAAGCCUCCAUGCUGGAGAGACCAUGUGGAGGGACCACACAGAGAUUGAGAGUAAGAUGCUUGAGAAGUCCCAGCUUUCCCAGCCCCAGCGUUUUGGGUCUUCUUAGCCCAAGCACUAGAUGUGCAGCCCCAGCCCAUGCCUGGGAAAAACUUUCACUAUUCCUUUCCUGGCUGCAGGAAUGCUUGAGAUGCAUGCACCUAUUCAUUUUUAAAUACUUAUUGAGCACAGGGUCCGGUUCCAAGAUGGCCGAAUAGGAACAGCUCCAGUCUAUAGUUCCCAGCAUGAGCAAUGCAGAAGAUGGGUGAUUUCUGUAUUUCCAACUGAGGUCUGAAAAGAUGUUCCAAAGGAGGACAUAGAGGGGAAGACUUUUGGUGUAGUCACUGCAAAGAAGAGUUUUGUAUGACUUUCUAGUGUGAUCUUGGGCAAGUGACAAAAAUAUUUUGAACUUAAGUUUUAGUACCCGGAAAAGGAUGACAAUGUUUAUUCCACAGGAUUGGACAAUUAAAUGGGGAUUUUUGUGCCCACUGAUACUGACAUGUUCUGCACUACUCAGGUGUCCGUUAUUCAGGUGCAAAGAAGACAAGAUAUAAAAUAAGGCCCAGAAGUGCAGUCCAGGAGUAUGGAGUAGGGCAGAAAUUGAAACUGAAACUGUGGAACGAGAAACCAUGGAUAAGGGAGGACUACAGUACAUCAAAUGGACCAAUCAUGGCUUUCUGCAGGUGUGAAAACUUUAGGAAUCAUCUAAAAUUUUCCUAAAAUAUCCAAGCUUGCAUGUUCAGGUCUGUAGUAAUAUAAUGAUGCUGAUAUUUUGAUAAGCACAAUUAACAGAAUGCUGAUUUGUAUUAGAAAGUAGCUCAACAAUCGAAGCUGCCCUGCAAUCUAAAUUUCCAGACUCAAACUUCAACUACUCAUCUACAUGUACCCAUCUUAUCACCAUAAAGUAAAUAUUUUGGUAUGCCUGCUUAGAGUUCUUUUCUAAUACGUAUUUAAAAAUCUACUGUGUGUGUGUGCGCAAACAAAAUCGGAUUGAUGCCAUAGUUUUAUAGUUUGUUUUAACUUAUUAAAGUCUGUUAUACAUACAAAGAAGUUAUCUAUGUACACUUUA